Molecule: long non-coding RNA, 1627 nt
Organism: Cyprinus carpio carpio
Lineage: Eukaryota; Metazoa; Chordata; Actinopteri; Cypriniformes; Cyprinidae
Source: Ensembl
AAAAAAGCCACAAUCCUGCACAGAAUGGCUCAACGGCUCUGUGAGAACAUACAUUAUGGUGGAUGACGUCAAGAUGGCGGCCGCAUCUAAGUGCCUGGAGCCGUGUUGGAAACCGUGGUUACCACAGUAAAUGCCAGCUUUCGCAGAUGGCCAGCGGACUGCUGCUGAAAUUACAUGCUCCAAAACCUCUUUCUCUUUUUAAUGGGGCAGCCUCCCAUGUGAAGAAACUUGGCCUUUCCAGUUUCCUCUCCAGAGAAAAUGAGAUUCCCCAGAGAACCAAGACCUGCAAAGACCCACAGAUGAGUUUCACAGUUCAAAUACCAACCAAAUUUGCACCCAAAAUAUAAGUGUUUUUGAUGUUAAAAUGUAGAAACUUGGUUUUGUGAUUCGUUUUGUACCUUUCCUACCCUAUGCUUGUUUUAAUGGCACAUUUUUACGCCGAUGCAUUCAGUCCAGACAGGAAUAAAAAUAGGACAAUUAUGUGAUAAAUUAUUUCUGAUGUAAUUUAUUGCGAGUAAUACGUUACUCUGCCCUCUUUUAUUACAGGUGCAGCAUCACAAAGGCCUUAAAAUGCAUUGAGGAAGUACAAUCAUGAGCCUCACAUGGACAAAUUUCCAGAAGCAGACAGAAUCACUGGAGCGUGAUGAGUCAAAACGCUGGUAUAAAUAGCAUCAGCAAGGCGAAUCAUGAAUAAUGAAGGAGCCGCCCGUCCCACUGGAGCACAAGUCAUAGGCCUCAAAUAAUGUCAACACACAGUAACAAGGUCUUGUGUCUUACACAAAGCAUCCCCACUCUAAUGAAUACUUCAAAACCUUUCAUCGUCUGGGUGGGCUGGAUGGCCAGACUUUACAGUGGCACCUACAAAGACUGACUUUGUAUGUGAGAUUGUACACAUGAAUAGGCUACUGUGACUUUGACCAUCUUGUGUAUUUGGCACAGAUGGCAAACAUGCAUAAAAACCACAUAUAUUUUCCUCCUUUGACUUGCUCAAGCACGUGCUUGGGGAUAUAAUUAUUGUUUUGGUUGUAUAAAAGCUUAGCUUGAGGCGUAGUAGUAGAAAUUUAGUCUAAACCCAAAAAGUUCCCUCUUAAAAUCUUAAAGCGUACUUGCUUCAACAAGAAUUCAUAAGCAAACAUAAAUCACUGUCUUUUUCAAACAGAAAAAUAUAAUUUUCUGCAUCAUAAUUCUGGUCUUUCGUCACAUGAUCCUUCAGAAAUCAGUUUGAUCUUCUGAUUUAAUGCAUUUCUCAUUAUUAUCAGUGUUGAAUUGAGUUUAAAGAGAAGACUUUAUUUGAUACAGAUAUAAUUUGUAAUAUUAUCCACCUGAUUUUUCAACGUAGAAGUAAGCUGUUUUCUAUGAAUGUGUGAGACUUCCGGCUGCUGUAGGGGAAUAACUAUAAGAAUAACAGUAAGUUAAACACAAAAACUGUUUGCACUCCAAACCAGUUUGUUUAUAAGUAAGAUAAUACAUUAAAAUUUGCACCAGUUUGCAAUAUCAAGCAGCCAAACGAGCUGUUUUGUACAGCUAAUAAUUGCUGGAAGCGGAUGAGACCGGGAAGGCUCGCACAUAAAAUUUACAAAUGGCCACCUCCGCUCUAAGGGGAAAAAUAAGGUGAAUAAAAUGUCUU